UACGGGGGGAGCAAGCGUUGUUCGGAUUUACUGGGCGUAAAGAGCGUGUAGGCGGCCAAACAGGUCCGUUGUGAAAACUGGAGGCUCAACCUCCAGACGUCGACGGAAACCGUAUGGCUAGAGUCCGGAAGAGGAGAGUGGAAUUCCUGGUGUAGCGGUGAAAUGCGCAGAUAUCAGGAAGAACACCUAUGGCGAAGGCAGCUCUCUGGGACGGUACUGACGCUGAGACGCGAAAGCGUGGGGAGCGAACAGG
This 253-nucleotide ribosomal RNA is filed under the name uncultured bacterium. RNAcentral describes it as "partial 16S ribosomal RNA". It matches the Rfam family "Bacterial small subunit ribosomal RNA", at positions 524 to 776 of the family's 1533-position model. The record is from RNAcentral.